CAGUGUCUCUCCCACUCUAAGAGAGCAGAGAGCAGAAGGAACAGAUACAGUUUAUUUAACAGACAACGACCGGGUAAAAUAUGUUUUAAUUUCUUUUUAACCAUAAGAAAAAAAGUGCAAAUAGUAUUUCUCGUCGUUUUCACUCAGGUCCCUGUGGAUACCCAGAUAUCAGUUUAACAGAAACCAACCGGCCUUCUGCUGAGCUACAACAUUCUCUUUAGUUGAAUGAAGCCAAAUGGACUGGGUGAUUUCUCCUUUUCAACUCGUUUCGCUGCCAAGUGAAGAAGAUCAUUCAUCGUCUGCUUGACUGGGCUCAGCAUUACAUAAUAAAAGAGAGGAUGAGAAGAAAAAAAGAGUGGGAGGCAGAGAUGAAGCCAAACAUCGCCACUGGCUCUCUUCCUCCUCUUCAAGCCCAUCUCUCCAUGGCAAGGAAGGGUGGGAGUGCACCGAGGCCAGCCAGGGUGAGGCAUCAUGGGUUUAAGAAGCAUCCUGAACCCCGCUCGGUCAACAGCACCUCUGGAGCUCAGAGCUCAAAGCUCAGAUAGAAAUCAAUACGGGGGAAGAGAGACUGAUGCUGGAUCAUCCAACCUAACCCUCAGCCUGCAGGCCAGAUGACCUCCUACACAUACAUGGCAUUACACACUGACACAUAUACAAAUGCAUACUGACAUACAGCUAUGCUAUCUUUCGCACAAUCACCCACACUCAUGACUACUAUACACCUACACAUGCAUGUGUUUGUGUGCCUGCUUUUUCUCGAGGCCAUGUUAUUUUGGAGUUGUGUCUACAAUCCAAACAGGCCUCAAUUAUUUUUUCCUAAAAAUGGCAAAGGUCCUCACUUUGCGUUUCCCCCACUUUAGCGCCAAAUAUCUACUUGUGUCUUUUUUACGUCACCUUCCACCUCUGUGUGGGGAGAAAAAUCAUUCAAAAAUAUAUCAAAUAUCUACAAGCAUGGACUUCCUCCCCCGAGCAACUCAUUGCCUAUUCAAUGGCAAGAAGAAAGAGGAAAGCAGCUGUAUCAUGUCCCACUGUGCUCCACAACGCUGCACCAGAAAAACACUUUGCCUCUACCGUAAUAGCUGCUUCUUUCAUAAGAAGCCAGAUUACAAGAUAGACAGCAAAAGCGACACAUUCUGAUAUCUGAACAUGGUGUGGACUUAAUGAGAGACAGAGCAUAAGAAUCUGAGGAGCACCCAGGGAACCGGUGAUGACAGCUCAAGCAAUGAACUUAAACUACAGUGAAGAUCAUUUACCCGAGCGAUACAGACAAGGACAACGUGUGUUCCAACAGAAGCGAAUGAUAAGAGGCUACACUAUGGUAAAGAUGGUGAUUUUCAGCUGCUCUUAUUCUGCUCGAACGAAGCAAGAGGAAAACACCUAUAAAAAUAUCACCAUAGGACUCGAGAGAUUUUUAUACAAAGUACAAAAUGAGCUUCUGCUGAGCUUACCAUUACUCUUGGGCUGCUUUAGAUUAAUAACAUGGACAUUUCAUCAUGGCAUAUUUGCUCGCCAGGUUAUUUCAGAACACUGGGCUACAAGAGGUAAGUACAUAAAAAGUGGCAAGUAAUAUUUAUUAAUGCUAAAUAAUCCAUAUAUAGUAUGUAUGUUUGUAGGUAUGUAGGUAUAUA
Silurus meridionalis is the source of this 1628-nucleotide long non-coding RNA. RefSeq lists it as uncharacterized. The record is from RefSeq and is a predicted model, not a curated record. The transcript is spliced from 4 exons. NCBI's taxonomy places the organism in Eukaryota, Metazoa, Chordata, Actinopteri, Siluriformes, Siluridae.